This 17450-nucleotide long non-coding RNA is filed under the name Gossypium raimondii (Peruvian cotton). Its description in RNAcentral is "long non-coding RNA (GRAI_LNC004038)". The record is from RNAcentral. Lineage: Eukaryota; Viridiplantae; Streptophyta; Magnoliopsida; Malvales; Malvaceae.
UACAUGUCAUUAUAACCAGAAUCAAAUCAUCCAAAAUUACCAAUAGAACCAAUGGAUAGUGUGAUAUAACUCUGACAAGCUUACAAGCUGUUCGAGCUUCCGAUAAUCUGUAGGGUAAAUAAAAACAAAUAUGUAAGUAAUGAAUGCUUAGUAAGCUCGUGUAGUCUUUAAUCAUAUUAAUUCAUUUUUGUACAUAUAAAGAAUAACCCAAUAUUGAUACCACAAUACUAAUGAAGUUACAUUCAUCAAUUCACAAGGUGAAUAAAUCCACAAUAUCAGUUAUACAUAUUAUCAAAAGCUUAGUAGGAUUUUAUAUAACUUUAACUCUUCCAAAUUUCUUUAUUUUCAUUUGCAUUUCUUUACUUUCCACACUUAUUCCAUAAGCAUGACACACAAGUCAUAAACAUAUCAUUCAACCAUAGUCACAAGCUAGUGCAUUUAACCAAAGCCUUUUUUGAAUUGAUUACAUGACAAUCAUUUCAUAAGAUAAUUUAAACCUUACCACUCUUUUAUAAGCACUAGCAUAUUUUCACUUAAAUACUUACCAAUUCAAUGCAUCAUAUAAAUAAACAUAUUACCAUUCAACCAAUAGCUUGGCACUCGCCUAAGCAUCAAGCAACAACACUAGUUAGCGUACUUGCACAUAUUACAUAUAAAUCCAACAUUGAUAAACUUAUUUUCUCGACAUGUCACACUUGAGUUUAUUACUCGUCUCAACAUACAUAAUUUCCUUGAAUCAACACAUCGAAGAUAGUUGCAUAUUUACAUGUCAUGAUACAUAUCAUUCUCUUACCGUUUCUUCAUAAACAUAUUUCAUUCAUUUCAUUAUAUCAAUAUUUCAUUUACCACCAUUUUCAUGAAUUUUGUGUAUAUUUAUUCCGGUAACAGUUCAUAAUCAUGAAUAUACAUAAUUAUCAGGCAAGUUUCAUAGACAUGUAUUUUCCAUGUCAUGUUUCAAUAUAUCAAAUAAAUAUCAUUUCCAUGUAUUUCAGGUAUAUACCGGUAAUAGUUUAUUUUGAACUCAUGUUAUCCCAUAUCAGAACUUUACCUGUUGAAUCAUUUAAAAUUUUGAUGGAUACAAGGAUAGUACACAUGAAGUGUAUGAAUCUGAAAUCCGUCAGUUCAUAUUCAAGGGUGCUCAUUUGAGCACAUAAUCGAGAAGCUCUCUCUUGAGCCAUAUAACAGGAAGCUCAUGUGAGCCAUUAAUGGGAAGCUUAUUCGGGCUAUAUAACGAGAAGCUCAUAAGAGCCAUAAUCGAAAAGCUCAUGCGAGCUAAUAACGGGUAGCUCUGAAGAGCCAUUAAUGGGAAGCUCCAAAUAGCCAUAUAUCGAGAAGUUCGAGUGAGUCAUAUUGAGAAGCUCCGGAGAGCCAUUAAUCAAGAAGCUCACAAAGAACCUUUUAAUUGGGAAGCUCACGAAGAGCCAUAUAUCGGGGCGCUCAUAAGAGCUGUGGUGUGUCUACAACACAUGCAAAGUCAUAACCAAUCGGGAUGCUUUGAAGAGCUAUUAACGGGAAGCUCGCAAGAACUAUAUAACGAGAAGCUUGAGAGAGCCAAAUAUCAGGAUGCUGUUUCGAGUUGUGGUGUGUCCGCAACAUAUGCAAGACCACAACCAAUUCGGGAACUUAGUAUCCAUCGAAUUUUAUUAUUUCAAACGGGACUUUAUAUUUAUCAAACAUCAUUGGAUAUGUGAUCAAUUUCAUAUAUAUGACAUUUACAAAAAUUCUCAAAUACAACAUUCAAUUCAAACAUAUAAAUAUACAAAAUUUAGUUACACGAACUUACCUGGCUAAAUUGUAGAAAUACCAAGAUUCAAGGGUAUUUUGGCAAUUUUCCAUUUUCUUCGAUUUUCCACCCGAUCUUAAUACGAAGCAAAAUUGAAGAACCAGGUCAAGGAGCUCUCCCAUGUCUAUUUUUAAACCGAAAUUAAGAAAGAAAUGUCUAGAAAACUCUUUAAAUCUAAUUUGUUUACUUUUAAUUUUAACUUAUUUACCAUUUUGCCAUUGAAUGGGAUUUUUUUUUAUUUUCCAUCCUUAUGCCACCUUGCCCUUUUAAUUUUGGCAUAAUUAUACCUUAAGUCCUCCCUCAUUUAUUAAUUAAGCCAUUUAGUCAUUUUAUUAUUAUAAUUAGCAAGUUUUGUACCUUUUUUAAUUUAGUCCUUUUUAAUUAAUUAACUGUCAAAACAUUAAAAAUUUUCAAUGAAACUUCAAUACUACCUUAAUGACAUUUUUUAAAUAUUUAUAAAAAUAUUUACAGCUCAGUUUAUAGAAACGAGGUCUCGUUACCUCAUUUUCUAAAACCACUUGAACUAGGAUUUUAUCACUCAAACGUAAUAAUUCAUUAUAAGACAUAAAUUAUUAAUUAAAAAAUCUUUUUAAAACCAUAUUUGACUCAUAAAUAUUAAAUAAUAAAAUUUAUGAGCUUACUCACCAGAUUUUGUGGUCUCGAACCAUUGUUUUCAACACCACUGAAAAUCGGGCUAUUACAUAAAACCAAUAGGGUGUAAGUGGAUCUACAAAAGGAAAAGAAAUGCAGAUGGAAAAGUGGAAACCUAUUAGGCCAAACUUGUAGCAAAAGUUUAUAUUUAGAAAGAAGGUGUCGAUUACAAAGAAACCUUCUCUCCGAUUGUCAUGCUCAAGUCAAUUUGCAUAUUACUACCCAUUGCGACAGCUUUCGAUUAUGAGAUUUGGAAAAUGGAUGUCAAGACAACAUUUUUGAAUGGCUAUCCUGAAGAGAGCAUCUACAUGAUACAACCCAUCAGAUAUAUAGCUAAAGAAAAACAGUAUAAAGUUUGCAAAUUUCUUAGAUCCGUAUAUGGAAUUAAGCAGGUAUCCCGCUCAUAGAAUCAAAGAUUUGAUUAAGCGAUCAAGACUUUUGGAUUUGAGCAAAAUGUAGAUGAACCUUGUGUUUACAAACAUUUAGGGAAUGGAAAUGUGGUCUUUCUCGUUCUAUAUGUCGAUGACAUUCUAUUCAUUGGAAAUGAUGUAGGGAUAUUGUUAUCAGUUAAACUGUGGUUAACCCAACAAUUUAACAUGGAGGACUUGGGAGAAGCUGAUUUUGUUAUAGGUAAUCUAAUCUUAAGGGAUUGAAAGAACAAAGUGAUAGAAUUAUCUCAGGCUUCAUACAUGGAUAAGAUAUUUGAGCGUUAUGCAAUGACCGAUUCGAAGAAGGGAAAUCAACAUUCUGUAACGAGGUUUCAUAUCUCUGUAGAGGACUGUCCUAACACAGCGAAAGAAAGAGAAAACAUGAGAAAGGUUCAUUAUGCUUCGGCAAUAGGAAGUCUCAUGUAUACUAUGCCAUACACACGCCUAGAUAUCUGCUUUCUAGUGGAGUUGGUAAGUCGAUAUCAGACAAAUCUAGGACCAAGGUACUGGCAAACAAUUAAGCAUAUACUUAAGUAUUUACGGAGAACGAGGGAUUAUAUUCUUGUGUAUUCCAGAGAAGAACUUACUCCUAUCGAAUAUACUGAUUCUGACUUCCAAACGUGUCAGGAUUCAAGGAAAUCAACAUCGGACUGUGUUUUUUUUCCUAAACAGCGGGUCCAUAACGUGAAUAAGUGUCAAGCAGGGUUACAAUGCUAACUUCAUUGUGGAAGACCGAAUAUGAGGUAUGAAAAAGUUAUAGCACUAUAAUAGUGCAAAUAUAGCUAAACCUGAAAGAAACCACAUAAGGAUAAAACACGUUAAGGGAGACGAAAGUGUUUGCUAAAAUAGUGGAUGUAGUCAAAAUAUCGCAUCUGAGGACAAAUCUUGGGGAUUUGUUUAGCCAAGACUCUUAUAGCUAGAGAGAUCUUUGGGAAACAUAUGGAGGGCAUAAGAAUACGAAACAUGACUCAUCUAGUUCACUAGGGCAAGUGGGAAACUGUUGGAUCUGGUGUCCUAAGUGUAGUAUUUUCGUCAAUAUACACUUGUAUUUUUUUCUGAACAGAUUGGUUAAUAAAAAAGAUUCAUUGAUUACAUCAAUAUACUUUGUAUAAUUUUCCUCACAUGGUUUUUGCAUGCAAAGAAAAAUAGAAGAAAAUGUUGCUCAUUGGUUGUCUAAAUUUUUAACUAAUACUAAACGAAUAUUAUGUAGUCAGAUCGUCGUAGAGAAAGGUAACUUGUAUUAGUAGAUGAACCUAAACAUGUACUUAUAGUCUAAUAAAAAAUGAGCAAAUCAAUUGAAAGACUAAUAUGUCGUCUAUCAAGUCCAAUUAGGGAGAUGUCUUGUCUUGGGCAUCAGAGCGGAUGACUCCUAGAAGAUAAAGAUAUAUAUGUGACUGACUGGAUUGACAAUACAUCGGACAUGAUCCAAGCAGAAUAGAUCCUGAAUCCGUUAAUGGAUUUAUUCACUUGUGACGUUCAUAGUGUGACAUACCUAAAUCCUGAGUAGAUAGCGGACUAUGUAUGUAUGACCCGUACACUUUGAUGUAAGUAAAAGUCUGAGUUCAAAUAGAUAAGGAACUAAAAGCUGGUGAGUUGGGUGUACGACUUCUGUAGUAUGUAACGUCAUUCACAAUAGUAGAAUUCAUAGCCCAAAACAUGGGUAAAUGAUAUCCUCUCAUUGGAAUUACAUGGUUGAUGAAAGUAAACAUGGUCACGGGUCGUCCGUCUUUGUGAUGGAUAACUUGAUCACUAUUUGAUAAUGAUUGACUUUUCAUGAAAGAAGAUGUAAUGGUUACCAUGAGAUAAAAUAUGAGCAUAUUGGGAGAAUGAAUAUUAUCCUAAAUAGACCAAAUAUAUCCUAUGAGGGUAACACACUUAUGACAAGGACAUUGAGUAGUUGCUUUCAUAAUGGUAUGUCGUUAGGGAGAACUCAGUACGAUACUAUAGUUGAAUGACUUCAAGACUAAAUGAGUUUAUAAUUAAUAGGCGAAAAGCCGAAACCUAAUUAUAAAUCAUUUGAGCCUCAACUACAUAUGUCCAAUCGGUCCCUCCGCUAGCUUAUUGAAACUAGAAAUGAAUUGCAUGUUUGAAUAGAAAUGAACAUAAUGAAUAGAAAAAGAGAAAUAAGAAACAUUCAAGAAUGAUUAUAGUUUUCUCCGAAAUGGAAAAUGGAAUCAUUUGGAAAUGAAUGUAGAUUUCCAAAAAUGAAAAUGAAAAUGAAAAUGAAAAUGGAAAUAGAAACGAGGUCCCAAAAUUGCAAUUUUUGACACCACUGGAAACUGGGUCGUUACACAAAUAGAUAACGUCACAUUUGAUACCUAUGCUUUCAUGAAACGUCCAAUGGUACCUAUACUUUAAAAAUGUCUAAUGUGGUACCUAAACUAUCAAUAUAUGUUUUAUUAUGGUACUUGUACUUUUAUAAAAUAUUCAAUAUGAUACGUAUACUUUGAAAAUAUCCAAUGUGGUACCCAAACUAUCAAUAUGUGUUUUAUUAUGCUACAUGAUAUUAACAUCGUUAGUGAAUUGCUAAACCACCCAAUGAAAAUUUGACAUAAAUUUUCUUUUCAAACCAUUAAGUUGACAUAGAUAAUAUAAUAUUAUAUGAAAAAAAUUAAAUAAAACAAAGGGAUAAUGGCACCAUUGGCCUUGUACUUUAGGGUUUGUUCUAAUGUGGCCCCUAAACUUUCAAAAUGUGAAUCUGGACAAUUGUAUGUCCAAUUUCAUUCUAGACUUAACUUUUAAAUGGUUUUUAUUAAAUUUUAAUUGCUUUUGAACUUUAUUUAAUAUUUUUAUAAAAUUUAAUAAUUUUUUAUAAAUUUAUAUUUUAAAAAAAUAUUUUUUAAAUUUUUUUAAAAGAAAUUAAGCUUUAAGGUGAAUAAACGUAGACAACCAUAUGUACAGGUUCAUUCCAGUGAAAAAAAUUAAAUAUUCCUUUUAAUUUUUUAAUUUUUUUGUUGACCAGUGCCACGUCAGCAACUAUUACUGACAUAAAGUAUCACAUCAACACCGUUAGCAACCAAAAUAGCGUUGUACCGAGCAAUGUUAAUCAAAGGGCCUAUUUGGCUAAAAUUAUUAAUUUAGGGUUCAAUUGGGUGCAAAAAGGUCAUAGAGCCUUAAUUGAUUUUUUCAAAAAAGUUUGAGAAACUUUUAAACCAUUAAAAAAAAAAAAACCAAAGUGUCCUUAACUAUGGUCAAAACAUGGCAAUUAAGCCUUAGCUUAUACAAUAUCUAUUGCAACAACAAAGAGGAUAUGAGAUCAAACACAUUAUUUAUCCUUAAGGAUUAAUAAAAGGGUAAACUACAUUAAGGUCAUUAAACUAUUAAUAAGUUUACGAUUUGGUCACUUAAUUUCAAAAAGUUACCAAAUAAUCACUAAAUUAUUCGAAAUUAGCCUAUUAAAAUCUUCCUUGUAUACACUAAUUGAAAGGAUAAGCUUCUCCUCCUCUUCUAUAAUUUAGGUUUUUUUUCAUAAAAUAAAUUUAAAUGUUAUGAAAUUACGAACCAAAAUUUGAAUAGUUUUUUUCUUCGAUCUUCAACAUCACUAACCAAAUCAACUUGAAUUUGAUAUAUGUUCAUCUACUUACCGAUGAAUACUAUUCUAUCGUAUUGAAUAGUCGUUGGUUGAAGCUCACUAAUUGAACUUUAAAAAAAAAAAAUUCAAACAAUUUAGUAAGUAUUUUAUAACUUUUUUGAAGCCAAGUUGAAUGCAUAAACAAAUGAACAAAAUGCAAAUACUCAAAAACAGUCCUUAAACAUUUUCAAAUUAUCCCAAAAAAAGAAAAACGCUCUAAAGAAAAUUGGUUAAAACCCUAAAAACUCUGGAUCAAUUUGGAAAGAAGAGAAGAAGAAGAAACUUGUUGAAUAUAAUCAAUGGCGAAUCUUCCAAUCGUGCAAUUCGAGAAGAAGAUAGAAGAAACAGUGGACCAAAAUCCAGUGGUGGUGAUCAUAGGAGAGACCGGUUCGGGAAAGAGCACGCAGCUCUCUCAGAUGCUCCACCGCAAAGGAUACACAAAUUCCGGAAUCGUUGCCGUCACUCAGCCCCGUCGCGUCGCAGCCGUAUCUGUUUCCAGGUACUGUUCCAAAGCAAACUAGGAACUGGAAUGCUUUAGGAAUUCGAAACAUGUAAUUUUUGCUGAUACUUAGGCGUUUUGUCGUUCAAGGAAAUUGAAUAAAUCCUUUUAUUCUAACUAUUUUAUGCGCUUAGGCGAGUUGCGCAGGAGCUUGGUGUUCGGCUUGGGGAAGAAGUAGGCUAUGCUAUUCGGUUUGAAGAUAGAACUUCCGAAAGAACACAAAUCAAGUAAUACAUUUUAGCUUAAUUAGUAUAGUUUUCAGUUUCAGUGCGUGUUGUUGCUGGAAUUGCAAUUGCCAAGUUUAUUGGUUUCUUAGCUAUGGUGUUGUAGAUACCUUACUGAUGGAGUGCUUCUUCGAGAAAGUCUGUCAAAUCCGGAACUGAAUCAGUAUUCUGUUAUUAUUCUGGACGAGGCUCAUGAGAGGAGUUUGAAUACGUAAGAAUCACCUUGUAUGCUGUUUCUAUUAUCUAUACCUUGGUUGUGUCCUUUUCAUUUUGUUGAUGCUGUACUUAUAGAAUCUUAAAUUUCUCAGGGAUAUUUUGCUGGGGUUGAUGAAACGCUUGGUUAAAAGACGUGCAUCCAAUUUAAAAGUUCUGAUCACAUCGGCAACCCUUGAUGGUGAAAAAGUGUCGAAGUUCUUUUCAGAUUGUCCCUUGUUGACUGUCCCUGGAAAAUUAUUUCCUGUGGAAAUAUUCUACAGCAAGGAGCGACCUACAAGCUAUCUUGAGUCUUCACUAAAAACAGCUAUGGGUAUGGUGUGAGUUUAUCUUUAUCACAUAUUCAGUUGUUGCAAGCUUUUAUUAUGUAUAUAUGCUGGCCAGUCCUUGUUGUUUAGCUAGGCUUGUGAUGUGGUUGCUUUCAUGCCCAGAUUUGCUGUAGUUACAUGGUUAUGUAGAAAGAAGUACUAAGAUUUUUUGGUUCCUUGUAUGAUGAACCCCUCUGGCAUCCAUUAAGAAUUUAUUGAUAAAUAAUUUUUUUGAUGUACUUUAGUCGUGCAACUAAAUGUCUAAGGCGUUAAGACACAAUUCCCAUCAGUUGUACCUUAAUUGAGUUGCAGGGAAAACUUUGGGUUUCUGGAUUUCCUGGCUAUCGUAUUUUGGUCAUAUGAGAUCUUACUAAGCAAUGGUUUUCGCAGAUAUACAUGUUCGGGAACCAGAAGGUGACAUCUUAAUAUUCAUGACUGGACAGGCAAGCUUUCUCUCUCUCUCUUUUCUCUCUCACUUCUUGGGGUGGCAUUCUUUGCGGAUUUAACUUCUAUCUUUUUCGUGGUUAUAACAUUGAUUCAUUGAUGAUUUUAACUGAUUCUUUUAAAGUAGAGUGGCCAUUUAUAGGAUGAUAUAGAGAAGUUGGUAUCAAAGCUGGAAGAUAAAGUUCGAAGUCUAGAGGAAGGCUCCUGCAUGGAUGCUAUCAUUCUUCCUCUCCAUGGUUCAUUGCCACCUGAAAUGCAGGUAUAGUUUUGUCUCAAAUUUUCUUUUCAUCUCUGCCUCCUUUGCCCCAUGGGAAAUGAAAUUAACUUAAGCUAGAUUGUCUUGAGAUGCAGAUAUUAGUAUUGAAUUUCCGUUGUUUUGUGGCUGACAUUUUUUUGGCUAUGACCCAACAGGUGCGUGUAUUCAGUCCUCCCCCUCCAAACUGUAGGCGUUUUAUUGUUGCCACAAACAUAGCUGAAACUUCUUUGACAGUUGAUGGUGUUGUGUAAGGAAACUUGAUACUUGUAAAUGUUGCUUGUCAGUGCUUUCUUUUGUUCUGUUAAUUUAAUUUCCACAAUUUGACCCCCCGCCUUGCCCAAAUUACUUGUUUCUACUCCAAUUCUUCUUUUACAUCUUGAUAGGCUUGAUCAGGUUAAAACUUUCUUAACCUGGGUGGAGAGGUUUUAGCAUCCACUAUUUAAAAUUUCUACCUGUUCACAUGUUAUUAGAGAAUCUGAGCAUGCACUGAUAAGUUGGCUUUAUGGUGAUGUAAUUUCCUUAGAAUCAUUGCAAAUAUCAGUGACUUUUUAUCUGUUGCAACACUUUUGACUGAUUCUUCUAUGGAGAUGGAGAGCAUUAAAGUCAAAGAGUAUUAGGUUCAGGUUGUUGUCAGUCUUGCUCUUCUUUUAAUUUUUUAAUCCUCCUGAAUAGAAGACGGUGUAGAUAAUGAAGUAAAUGAGUGUUAAUAAUAUGUAAAAUAGCCCUCAAUUUUGGUCUUUAUAAACCAGCAUUUUCUUUAUUAAUUUGCCUAGAUCAUGCGAAUACUUCUGCUUUUAGCAAACCAAUUACCCUGUCAUGGUUAUGUAGGUUUAACAAAAUGACCAAAUAUAAACCAAGAAGCACUGCAGUCCUUGGUUUCCAUGUCCAAAAUAAUCUAGUAAAAUAGAGACAUAACAGAGACAAGGCUAUUCUGAAAUUCUAGUGGAGGGCUUUUGUUUUAUAUAUGUAAUUAUAUAAGGGAUCAAACAUAUCAAUGGUAGAGUGUUUCUUAAUUGUUCCAAUCAAAUCACAGUGUUUUAGUUUAGUUUACUAUCUUGUUCCUGUUGCUUCUUAAUUUUACGAUUUUCUACCUUGAGGAAGGCACUGAAAUUUGGUCUUAAGGGUCCCACUACUCGUUAAGACCUGUAUAUGGUCCAAUGGUAACUAUAUUAUUGUGAUGCAUUGUACUGUAUGCGUAAUUCUACCACCUGUUUUUGCACUUGGUCUCAGUUAAUGAUCAAUUGCAUUGAUAUUUUGAUUGCUUCUCUCGAAAGUAAUUAUCUGUACAUUGAUAGGUAUGUUAUUGAUUCUGGUUAUGUGAAGCAACGGCAAUAUAACCCAGCAACUGGAAUGUAUUCCCUUGAUGUUGUUCAAAUUAGCAAGUAAGUGGAUGACUUAAUGUUUCUUUUGGCUUUUGCAGCAUGUUCAGGUGUUCCUAGUAGCACAACUUACAGUUGUGAUUCUUUUUGGUCUUUAUUUGUUUGCAAGUUCAGGUUUUCUUGCAUGAUCUAAGUUUUACUCUUAUUUUGCAUCGAACAAAUUUAUGUUCUUACCUUUCUUUUCUCACUUGAGUGAUGAUGAAUUGUUAGUAUUCUUGCCAAUAACUUUUUUCCCUUCUUUCUGAAUCUUUUUUUUUUUUUUGUUCUUUGAGGGUACAAGCUAAUCAACGUGCUGGACGAGCUGGAAGAACACGUCCUGGGAAGUGUUACCGUUUAUACCCAUCCAGGGUUUACAAUGAUGAUUUCCUUGAUGUAACAGUUCCUGAAAUACAGCGAUCUUCUCUUGCUGGCAGUGUUCUUUAUCUAAAGUCAUUGGACCUCCCUGAUAUUGAUAUUCUGAAGUUUGAUUUUCUUGACCCCCCUUCUAGUAAGAAUGCAUUCUUAUUGUGUUCAAUUUUGUUAUGGCAUAAAGAAAGAACAAGCAUUUGAGUUGUCACUGUUUAAAAUUUUCAUUCUGUCAAUAUCUAUAUUUUACAGUUUCUGAUGAUGUUUCUCUUUAGAAUUGAGGUAUUGAUUAAAUAUUUGGUUUAACUUUAGCCGAGUCAUUAGAAGAUGCUCUAAAGCAACUAUAUCUGAUUGAUGCCAUUGAUGAAAAUGGAUCGAUAACUAGUAUUGGGCGAACAAUGGCCGGUAAGCUUUCAAACUUGCUUUCCAAGUAUUACCAUGCUUACCAAGUAUGUUGGCAUUAGUUGAUAAAUGCAUGCUUAAUUUGGUAGCAGUUGCUGGGUUUUUUUUUUUUUUUUGGCCUCAGUUGUGGUUAUGAUUUCUAUGGAUGUAGCACCUGAAACUGGGACCUUGGUAGAUAUGAAUUUGAGUACUGUCAACUUCCUUGUGAUCAAUUACCAACCCUUUUCAUGGAAGUAAACUCAAAAUGGCCAUCUUCUUUGAUUCUUAAUUAACUCAUGUCUUGAGCUAGAAAGCAUGAGCUACUACUGUCUAUUACCAUGCUAAGGAAUUGUAUUUUCCUGGAAUGAAACUAGCCCUUUUCAUUGGUUCUCAGUUAACUCAUGUCUCAAACUAGAAAACAUGAGUUCCUGUCUAUUAAGAUGUUAAGGAAUUUUAUUUACCAGGAAUGACCUUGGAAGAUAUGAAUUUGGGUGCAGUCAACUUCCUGGUGAUCAAUUACAAGCCCUUUUCAUGAAACCUGAUUCAGAAUGGCCACCUUCAUUGAUUCCUAGUUAACUCAUGUCAAGAAUUGGCAAGCAUGAGUUACUGUCUAUUAUAAUACUAAUGAAUUUUAUGUACCUUUAAAUACUUUUUGUCUUGGUUAAUCGCUAUUCUUUGUGGCAUUUAUCUUAAUGACUUGUAUGCAUAAAAUAAUAUUAUUAGUGUUUUCUUCCCUGUCUGAAACUGCUCUACUUUGCAUGUGUGCUCACUGCACAACUUAUUUGUAUGCAGAGCUCCCAUUGGAACCUUCACUUUCGAGAACCUUAAUUGAGGCAAAUGAAUAUGGUUGCUUAUCCCAGGCUCUGACUGUUGCGGCCAUGUUAUCAGCCGAAACAAAUUUGCUUCCUGGUCGAAGGUUAUUUCAUUGAAAGUGUUUAUGAGAUUGUCUAUUAUAAAGAUGGCGACUACAGCUUUUCCUAUUAUCUUUAACUUCCAGGCAGCUAGUUGAACUUAAAUGUUCCCUAAACUGUACAAAUUGUAAUUUGUAGCUACUGCAUGCUGAUGUAGUACCUUAUUUGGCAAAACCAAAAACUUUUAGGUCAUUUAUGUGUUUGGUCUAGUAUCCCCAGUUCUUCAAGUUUUCUUCAAGACUCAUUUGAUUAACUGGAAGGAAAAUGAAAUUACUUCAUUUUAUUUUGACAGAUCUGAUUUUUGGGGGAUGGGUGGUUGGGGGCUAAUGAUAUCCAAAUUCCAUCAAAAUGAAGUCUGUAUUUCCAUAUUUGCAAAGUUGUUUUUCACUUCUAAUGCUUAAUGAUAGUUUGUAAUGGGAAAUAACUUAAAAUUUUCUCUUACUGCAGCAAGAAUAAUGAGAAGAAAAGAAAAUACCCUCCUUUGGAACUUCCUGAUGGUUCUGGUUUUGGUGAUCACAUCCAGUUGUUACAGAUCUAUGAAUGCUGGGAUGAAAAUAAUUACGAUAUUGGUUGGUGCAAAGAUUAUGACUUACAGGUAUGCUUCUUAUCUCCCAAUUGAGAAAACAUGCAUUUAGAAACAGUAAGACAUUAGGCAUGUCAUUCCGAUUGUUUAAUCCUUUUCUUGGAACAAUGAUAAAAAUCUGCCUCAAGUACUUGAUGCGCGUGCAUAACAUGUCAUUCUAUUUUCAGAUGGAUCUUUCUGUGAUUAGCAGAAGUGCCCUGGAUUUUCUGGAUACAUUAAUGACGGAAUAUCUUUGAUAUUAUUCUCAUGCUAAAUAUGAAUAACAUAUUUGGAACAACUAAUUUUAGGUGCGAGGAAUGAUGUUUGUCAAAGAAGUUCGAAAGCAGCUAUCGCAGAUAAUGCAGAAGAUAGCAAAAGGUCAGCAUUGAUUUGACUUAGCGGCGAUUUUUGGAGAUUUUGCCUUUGUUAAUUUGACUUGGCUUUACUUUGCAUAUUUACGACUCAAUAUUCAACCAGAAGUAGAUGUGUUUGAUGCUAUGUUUUCUAAACCAGACCGGUGGUCAAACUGGUCAGGCCGCCAGUCCGAUUAAAAAACUAUUAAAAUUUAAAAAAAAUUAAAAAAUACCGGUUCAACCUGUGUACCUAUUCCCGGUCUAACCGGUUCAAAGCCACUUUCUAGAUUGCCCCCCCGGCCGGUUCCCAGUCCAACCAGUCUGACCAGCUGGUGUGGUCCUGUUCAAACAACAUUGGUUUGAUGUCCUUGCCCUUCUGCACCCUUAAGUCCGGUUCCCAGAGAAGAGAUUUAUGCUUGAAAUAGUAUCUUGGGGGCAUAGUAGCCUUCUAUGUUACUCGGACUUGAUUUUGUGUAUUGGGUGUGGGUAUGUUUUCUAAGAGGGUGUGCUUAAUCUUUUUUUUCUAAGUUUUCUGUGUAUUUGAAGUGUUUUUGGAGGGUCAUAUCUCGAUACCCAUAUUCGGAUGUGCAUCAGACAGAUGUUUGAUAUGGGAAUAGAGUCAGAGCAUUGUAAGUAGCCUUAGCUUCCCAAUCCAAAGUAGAUAAACAUUAUUGAAAAAUUCCUGCACGUCUUUCUUCAGAAAUUUUGCACUCAUUAACCCAGUCUCCCUGUCUUUUCCAUUUUCCUUCUACCUCGAAGUUUCUUUAUUGCUGUAACGACUUAUGCAUCUGAAAAACAGGGUCCUCAGAUGUACAAGUAAAUCAAAGUCAGAAAAGACGCCAGAGUUAUAGGAAUUUGAGGAAAGCAUUGUCCAUUGGCUUUGCAAGUCAGCUUGCUGAGCGGAUGAGGCAUCAUAAUGGCUUUCGAACACUGGGUUUUAAGCCCCAACUAGUGCAGGUAUCAAUUUUUAAUAAUUUAACCUUGUGGUAGUUUUAUUGCUUGAGAGAGCAUCAUAUGGAUUAGGUGGCUACAAUUCCUUGGUUUAAAAUUGGGUUUGAAGAAAUACAUAGAUACCAAAGAAAAUUUGAACAUUAUCCAGUUUAGAUUAUGAAAAGCUGUAGCAUUGAGCAUCAAAGUUUGAAACAAUUGAUGAAUCUUGAUCUUUCAAGUAUAUUGUUGUCCAACUGUCACUAAAAGCAAUUGUUGUUGAUGCUAGGUGCAUCCUUCCUCUGUGCUAAAGCCAGAUGAUGAUGGAUUAUAUCCAAAUUAUGUUGUCUACCACGAACUUAUUGCUACCUCACGCCCAUAUAUGCGGAAUGUGUGUGCUGUAGAGCGUCAAUGGGUGAUUCCAAUUUUAGAGAAACUUGACAAACUUGAUGUCAGGAAAUUAAGGUAAAUCAGAUUUGAGACUUAUAUAAAGAUAAUGCUCUUGUUUUCUGAUCUAAGACUAAGCACAUAGUUCUAUCAAAAAAGAUUUAAGCACAUAGUUUGGCUUUAACAUUUUUCUUUUUUCAUGAAGUGGUGGUGGAUUGGGUCAUGUAGAAGAGAUAACUGAGGGAAACACGUCAGACUUACUGAAGAAGGAAGCUGUCAUCGUUACAGCUCCAGAAGAGCAGGAAAGUAAAAUUCAGGCAGCAAGGGAACGUUUUCUUGCUCGCAAGGGAAAGAAAUGAGGUCGGGUAUUAUGUGUUAACAGAUCAGUGCAGUGAGAGCUGCUUGAUUACUCAGUGGACAUUCCAAUUUUCAAAAUUGUUGGUGGGACUGAGAAUCAUGUGCGUUUUGAUUUUCCAGUUCCCACUAUCUAUUCUAUAGCACUUUGCUGAUGGCAUGUGAGCUUUAUACUUUCCUUGAUGCUUAUAGAGGACGUUGUUAAAUGAGAGUGUGGCCACGAUAUGCGUUGGUGGGACGCAAGAUUACGCUCUUUAUUCCUUCAGACAAAUCACAAGAGUUUGGAUGUGAUUCUUGAUUAAUCUAUAUAACCUUAUAAUUUGAAUAUAUCACUUGCCUCCACAGAUGAAACUGAAGGAGGGAUAAAGGCUAGCAUUGCCCUGAACUUGUACCCAAAGGUCAAAUUUACCGUUCUCCUCAUAUAUAGUUGUACUCUGGAAGUGUUUACCCCCAUUUGUUUUAAUACAGUUAAUUUUAAUGACAGAAAAGACGAAUGUUUGAUGAUUGUAUUUUUAUUUUCAUGAUUGAAUGCAUGUUGAAUACUAGAUUUUACCAAAAAAAAAUGUUGGUUAGUAUAAAGUAGGUUUUUUUAAUGCUUUUUUUUGGGGGAUAACUUGUUCAAAUUCAAUACUUGUGUUGUGAGUGAGGAAAAUAAGCAGUCCUAAUUUAAAAGACUUAGCUGGUUUUGUGAGGCCAAGGUUUUUUGAUAGCUGCUGGUGCUGCCUAAAGGUAAACUACAUGAAUAAAUCGAAUUAAUUUCUAAUUUCGUUCAACAAACUUAUUUUAUUAAUUCCUCUAAUCACAGUGCAAGGAGUUGGUGGAUGGAGAACGUGGGUUAAUCUUUGGGGGUAAACUCCAUAUUCCCUAAGCAAAUUUUAUAUUCAGGAUAGAGAAGAGAUACUACGUGGGAACCCUAGGAAACUGUCCCUUUACCAUUCCGCCUUGCUACUACUACACCAUUCGGCAAUGCGGCCGGUCAAUUGAGACCAUCAGUGAAUUCUCCUUUCCCUCACUCUCCAGUUAGUCUUUCCUGAAUUCAAGUCUUAAGUCUCGAUUCUCUUGUGUUUUCUUGGCUGAAACAUGUUACUGCUCGAAUAUCUAGUUGAGGGUCUCGAGUGACAAAGUUUAGACUACAGCCGAAAGUUUCUUUGUUUUUUUGGUGGCCGAUUGUAUGGCCGUUGAACAAAUGAUCAUCAUACCCCCAUUGCCCUUGGUAGUCUCCCUGAAGCGGAUUUUGGUCAUUUAUUUCGGUAGGAAGUGGACAGGUCAUGGAAUAAUAAUCUUUCUAUGGUCCAUGGCUUGAGUCAUGCUUCGAUGUCAUGCGAUGAUAGUCACGACGCUCUAGUCUUGUGGUGACUUGAUUUUUCUAAUUUUUAGUGGCAUUUUCUGUUGAAUUUUCACGGGAACUCAAUUUUGGUUGGGUUCCCAUUGAAUUUUUGUUGUUUUAGGUUAAAGAAGUUUCCACUUCCAUGACAGCAAGGAUGUGUAUAAAGACUCACAACAUCAAGGGUCUGCCUCCUUACGGCUGAGAGUGUUGGGUUCAUGUUGUUAUUGGCGGGUAAGACUGAUUCAGGCAAUGGAAAUCCUUUUCUCUUUAAUAGAGUGGUAGGUUUUACUUGUCUUUGGAGACUGUCUUGUAUGAGGCAUAGAUUUUCAACAGUUUUCUCCGCUUUUUAUAGUUGGACCAGUUUGGUUUUGUUUCUAGUUCGUGGCUGCUACAUUGCUAUAUAGGCAGGUCUCCUAUGCCUACCCAGGUCUACAAUAUAGCUCAACCGGUGUCUUUAUGUAAUGAUGAUAACUUUAAAAAGUUUCUUUAGUAACAAAGAUUGAUUGCAACAAGUGAAAAAGUCUCAAAAAAAAUUGUCCCACCCAAUUACUGGACAAGGUAUUAGUGGCUUUUGCCACCCAACCCAUCACCAGAUAACAGUGACGAAAGGACACAUACACACCAUGAGACACCGUCCAAAAUUUCAUUAACAAUGGCAUCCCGCUCCAUGAUGCAAUAUAAAUCUAUGCUGCACUUGAAAUUCAGUGAAAUAGAUAAUUGAGUGGGAAAUCGAUCCGUCAGUGAAUGGUGAAAAGGGUAGAAUCUAGGAUUUGUUAGUGCUAAAUUUGGUCCACCAUGCAUUUUUGUUUUCUACUGACGCAUGGAAGCAUUGGGACCCCAAAAGCACUCUCACUGCCUGUUUAUUGUAUCCAUGCCAAUGCCUCUUUCCCAAAACGAGGAUCCUCCACCAGCAUUUUUUUUUCAAAUAUUCGGCUGUUCCAAAGAAAAUAGUAUUAUAUAUUUUCAUUGGAGUUCUUUUUCUUUUAAGUUACAAGUUACACAUUCGUUUUUGAUGGAUGUAAAUAUUUAUUUUUAUUACUAAUGCUUUUAUACUGUUUAUCUUGGUUACAACACUUCUUGAUGAACCACUCCAUAACAUGGGAUGCUCUUGAUAUGCAAUAGCGUGCAUAAUUCUGAAUUACUUAAAAAUGUUGUUGGAAAUACAUGCAACUAUGUAAAAGUUGUGUAACUAACCUUCAAAAGUUUGUUUUUGUUUUGUUCCGUCAUAUUCCAAGAUUUCCGCCGUCUUUUGUAGUAGUUGUGUGGUUUCUGAUUUGGGCUUGGUGCGCUGAUGGCUGACCUGUUUGGGGUGGCUCGAAUUUUCAGAUUCCUCCGGCGUCUCCCGGCUAGCGGUUGGUGAUGCUUGGCUCUUUCUCAAAACGUGCUUUAUUGUUUUUCUCCCUUUCUUGUAAACAAAGUUUCUAGUAAAAAUGAAAGCCAUUCGGUAAUGAAGAUCAUACGCACUAAUGUUUUUCAUUAGUGGAAAACAUUAAUGCUAACACCUAUGCGAAUGGUAAUGACCCCUCCUCUGUUUAUGCUUUUAGAAGAGUUGACCUCUUAUGUUUGGGAUCCUGGUUGUUUGGAGUCAUUGUUGUACUGUAUUUUGAUUGUGUUUAUUUUAUGAAGUGAACCUUUUUUUCAUCCAAACAAAAAACCUUUAAAGGGUUGGCAAGAUUCCUAAAUUACUCCAUUAUUGAAAUGUCUUAGAAAGUGUGAUUUAGAGACUUAGAAUAUGGAUAUUGUUAAAAUGUACACUUUUAACCUUACAUUUCCAUGAAGCACGUGUUUUCCUCCUAGUUAAACAAAAGGUACUCUUGUAUUUAAACAUACAAGUAACACUUUGUUUAUUAGAAAUAAUACCUGAGUGAAACUUUCAUGUAAUUUGUACUAUUUAUUAAGUGUUUUAUUGAGUUAGUGUUGCCCUUAGUCGAAUCACCAACUCGGUUAGGAAAAUUAUAAAAAUGCCCUUUUGUAAUUAAAAUAGGUUAUACUAUUUGAGGGUAUUUUAGUCUUUUCAUUUAAACAAAAACCAAUAAAAAUAUGGUGGGAUUUGAACCCACACCAAUUGUAUUAAUAAAAUUUUAAAUUUACCCCUCAACCAAAGUUUUGUUUUAAUGUUGUCGUACGUUUUUAUUUUAAUAUGCGCA